UGGGGAAUAUUGGACAAUGGGCGCAAGCCUGAUCCAGCCAUGCCGCGUGAGUGACGAAGGCCUUAGGGUUGUAAAGCUCUUUUGCCGGGGACGAUAAUGACGGUACCCGGAGAAUAAGUCCCGGCUAACUUCGUGCCAGCAGCCGCGGUAAUACGAAGGGGACUAGCGUUGUUCGGAAUCACUGGGCGUAAAGCGCACGUAGGCGGAUUUGUCAGUCAGGGGUGAAAUCCCGGGGCUCAACCUCGGAACUGCCUCCGAUACAGCAAAUCUCGAGUCCGGAAGAGGUGGGUGGAAUUCCUAGUGUAGAGGUGAAAUUCGUAGAUAUUAGGAAGAACACCAGUGGCGAAGGCGGCCCACUGGUCCGGUACUGACGCUGAGGUGCGAAAGCGUGGGGAGCAAACAGG
This 404-nucleotide ribosomal RNA is filed under the name uncultured bacterium. RNAcentral's name for it is "bacterial SSU rRNA". It matches the Rfam family "Bacterial small subunit ribosomal RNA", at positions 355 to 776 of the family's 1533-position model. The record is from RNAcentral.